This is a long non-coding RNA of Haliotis rufescens (red abalone), 478 nucleotides long. RefSeq lists it as uncharacterized. The transcript has 4 exons. Lineage: Eukaryota; Metazoa; Mollusca; Gastropoda; Lepetellida; Haliotidae. The record is from RefSeq and is a predicted model, not a curated record.
GUUUCAUCUCUGAUUGACGGGUGUAAUUGUGUGGAACGCACUGUUAAUUGACUUAAACUUGAUGAACACUCCAAAUGUAUUUCCAUUCUUCCAUGGUGUCACAAGUACAUCAUAUUGAUGGAAUGCAGUCUGAUGUUUCUCCGUGGAGUGGUUGAACAGUGUCUUCACUAGUGGGAACAAGCGUGUGAAGUUUCAACUUCUUACAGUUGGUUGCAGAGCCUAGGGCACAUUUUAGAGAACUCAGGAGCAUCAUCCAAAGGUCAAAUCAAGACAUUCCACUCCCUUCCCAGCAUGAACCUUUCAACACUAGCAGUGAGUGAUGGAGCAGAUUGCUGAGAAGAUUGGACCCACUGCUUAGACUAUCUCUCCAGGAUACCAUGGCUCCGAUAUGUGUAAGAAAGAUUAUGACAAGAUUCGAAAGUAUAUGUUGACAGUUGUGACAUGUUAUUGUGAAACUAACGGAUUCAUGUUCGUUCAU